This 254-nucleotide non-coding RNA is filed under the name Clostridium pasteurianum. Its description in RNAcentral is "T-box sequence". It matches the Rfam family "T-box leader". From Rfam's summary of the family: Uncharged tRNA acts as the effector for transcription antitermination of genes in the T-box leader family. T-boxes are found upstream of many aminoacyl-tRNA synthetase genes and some amino acid biosynthetic genes usually in Gram-positive bacteria. The anticodon of a specific tRNA base pairs to a specifier sequence within the T-box motif, and the NCCA acceptor tail of the tRNA base pairs to a conserved bulge in the T-box antiterminator hairpin. The record is from RNAcentral. Lineage: Bacteria; Bacillati; Bacillota; Clostridia; Eubacteriales; Clostridiaceae.
UUAAAGGCAUUGAUGCGGAAGAGUAAUUAUAUUGUUGAAAUAAAGAGAGGGAAUGCUGGUGGAAAUUUCCCAUGAUUGAUGUAAUGAAGGUAGCCGCGGAGCUUUAGACUGAAAGCUUUAUGCAAGUAGGUUUUAACGGAGUUUCCCACUGUUAAAAGGGAAGUAGUAUCGGCUAAUUUGCCUGUACUAUAUAGAGUGUGUACAUAUGUACAAAAUUAGGUGGUACCACGGAGAUAUAACCCUUCGUCCUUAAA